Molecule: ribosomal RNA, 2347 nt
Filed under: Staphylococcus aureus
Lineage: Bacteria; Bacillati; Bacillota; Bacilli; Caryophanales; Staphylococcaceae
Description: partial 23S ribosomal RNA
Rfam family: Bacterial large subunit ribosomal RNA
Source: RNAcentral
GAACCAGUACCGUGAGGGAAAGGUGAAAAGCACCCCGGAAGGGGAGUGAAAUAGAACCUGAAACCGUGUGCUUACAAGUAGUCAGAGCCCGUUAAUGGGUGAUGGCGUGCCUUUUGUAGAAUGAACCGGCGAGUUACGAUUUGAUGCAAGGUUAAGCAGUAAAUGUGGAGCCGUAGCGAAAGCGAGUCUGAAUAGGGCGUUUAGUAUUUGGUCGUAGACCCGAAACCAGGUGAUCUACCCUUGGUCAGGUUGAAGUUCAGGUAACACUGAAUGGAGGACCGAACCGACUUACGUUGAAAAGUGAGCGGAUGAACUGAGGGUAGCGGAGAAAUUCCAAUCGAACCUGGAGAUAGCUGGUUCUCUCCGAAAUAGCUUUAGGGCUAGCCUCAAGUGAUGAUUAUUGGAGGUAGAGCACUGUUUGGACGAGGGGCCCCUCUCGGGUUACCGAAUUCAGACAAACUCCGAAUGCCAAUUAAUUUAACUUGGGAGUCAGAACAUGGGUGAUAAGGUCCGUGUUCGAAAGGGAAACAGCCCAGACCACCAGCUAAGGUCCCAAAAUAUAUGUUAAGUGGAAAAGGAUGUGGCGUUGCCCAGACAACUAGGAUGUUGGCUUAGAAGCAGCCAUCAUUUAAAGAGUGCGUAAUAGCUCACUAGUCGAGUGACACUGCGCCGAAAAUGUACCGGGGCUAAACAUAUUACCGAAGCUGUGGAUUGUCCUUUGGACAAUGGUAGGAGAGCGUUCUAAGGGCGUUGAAGCAUGAUCGUAAGGACAUGUGGAGCGCUUAGAAGUGAGAAUGCCGGUGUGAGUAGCGAAAGACGGGUGAGAAUCCCGUCCACCGAUUGACUAAGGUUUCCAGAGGAAGGCUCGUCCGCUCUGGGUUAGUCGGGUCCUAAGCUGAGGCCGACAGGCGUAGGCGAUGGAUAACAGGUUGAUAUUCCUGUACCACCUAUAAUCGUUUUAAUCGAUGGGGGGACGCAGUAGGAUAGGCGAAGCGUGCGAUUGGAUUGCACGUCUAAGCAGUAAGGCUGAGUAUUAGGCAAAUCCGGUACUCAUUAAGGCUGAGCUGUGAUGGGGAGAAGACAUUGUGUCUUCGAGUCGUUGAUUUCACACUGCCGAGAAAAGCCUCUAGAUAGAAAAUAGGUGCCCGUACCGCAAACCGACACAGGUAGUCAAGAUGAGAAUUCUAAGGUGAGCGAGCGAACUCUCGUUAAGGAACUCGGCAAAAUGACCCCGUAACUUCGGGAGAAGGGGUGCUCUUUAGGGUUAACGCCCAGAAGAGCCGCAGUGAAUAGGCCCAAGCGACUGUUUAUCAAAAACACAGGUCUCUGCUAAACCGUAAGGUGAUGUAUAGGGGCUGACGCCUGCCCGGUGCUGGAAGGUUAAGAGGAGUGGUUAGCUUCUGCGAAGCUACGAAUCGAAGCCCCAGUAAACGGCGGCCGUAACUAUAACGGUCCUAAGGUAGCGAAAUUCCUUGUCGGGUAAGUUCCGACCCGCACGAAAGGCGUAACGAUUUGGGCACUGUCUCAACGAGAGACUCGGUGAAAUCAUAGUACCUGUGAAGAUGCAGGUUACCCGCGACAGGACGGAAAGACCCCGUGGAGCUUUACUGUAGCCUGAUAUUGAAAUUCGGCACAGCUUGUACAGGAUAGGUAGGAGCCUUUGAAACGUGAGCGCUAGCUUACGUGGAGGCGCUGGUGGGAUACUACCCUAGCUGUGUUGGCUUUCUAACCCGCACCACUUAUCGUGGUGGGAGACAGUGUCAGGCGGGCAGUUUGACUGGGGCGGUCGCCUCCUAAAAGGUAACGGAGGCGCUCAAAGGUUCCCUCAGAAUGGUUGGAAAUCAUUCAUAGAGUGUAAAGGCAUAAGGGAGCUUGACUGCGAGACCUACAAGUCGAGCAGGGUCGAAAGACGGACUUAGUGAUCCGGUGGUUCCGCAUGGAAGGGCCAUCGCUCAACGGAUAAAAGCUACCCCGGGGAUAACAGGCUUAUCUCCCCCAAGAGUUCACAUCGACGGGGAGGUUUGGCACCUCGAUGUCGGCUCAUCGCAUCCUGGGGCUGUAGUCGGUCCCAAGGGUUGGGCUGUUCGCCCAUUAAAGCGGUACGCGAGCUGGGUUCAGAACGUCGUGAGACAGUUCGGUCCCUAUCCGUCGUGGGCGUAGGAAAUUUGAGAGGAGCUGUCCUUAGUACGAGAGGACCGGGAUGGACAUACCUCUGGUGUACCAGUUGUCGUGCCAACGGCAUAGCUGGGUAGCUAUGUGUGGACGGGAUAAGUGCUGAAAGCAUCUAAGCAUGAAGCCCCCCUCAAGAUGAGAUUUCCCAACUUCGGUUAUAAGAUCCCUCAAAGAU